This 213-nucleotide unclassified non-coding RNA is filed under the name Plagiomnium ellipticum. Lineage: Eukaryota; Viridiplantae; Streptophyta; Bryopsida; Bryales; Mniaceae. The record is from RNAcentral.
CAAAAAAAAGUUUAACAACUCCUAUUCUUUUUGAAAGGUCGUUUUCUUCAAAACCCCAUAUCGAUAUCCUUUUUCUUUUACUCUAUACUUCGAAAUGGAAUAUCUUUCUUUAGAAAGUUUCUAAAGAAAACUCCUAAUCGUCCGCAUCUUAUUAGCCAUUCCAUUGGUCUAGAAAAGGUUGCUUUUGAAAAAGGCACCUAAYAGAUNNAAUGG